AUGAAGCAGGUGGCCCUGCGGGGGAGUCCACAAGGCAAGGAGAGGAGACGCCACCGGCUGACGGGGACCCUUAGGCCCGCAGCUGCAGGAACCUCGUGGGCUGAGGCCCAUCUUGCCCCAGACCCGCAGAGGGUCCCCCCAGAAGCCAGGAGACGAGUGUGCGGCCUUAUCCAGCUAGGGUUGUGGUUGUGUGGCUCCACAGGAACAGACAAGGAGAAAUGGCUCCUGGGAGACAAGGAGGGAAUGUUCCUGGGAGCAGCAGGGCCGCGAAAGGCCUGCGAGCCCACGUGCAGUGCUGCUCACGCGGCCUGGGGCUGGCUAACCGCGCUCCACACUCGCCCCUCUGGGGCCCUGCGUGCCAGGCUGACCUCUGAGGCCAGGCUCAAGCAGCAGCUCCCUCAGCCCGUCCACCUGGCCUGCGUGCCAGCCCCAGGGCUGCUCUGGGGGCAGGGGCGGGGAGGGGGGCAGCCUGUGGUGGCCGGGCCCCCCCGGCCCUCAUCCUGGCCCCCUCGCCCUCCUCGGGGGAACAGGCCAACCAGACCUUUAAAAGCCUGGGGCACACGGACCGACCAGGGUGGUGGGAGAGCCAAGCUCCCCAAACCCACUUCCCCAUCUCCCCGCCCCAACACUGGCAGUUUCCCAGCACCCCAUGGGACUCCACCCGGCACUAUCACCUGCCCAGGGCGGGCUCCCAGCUGCUUGGUUGUAAAACAACCUGACAUGCAGGGAACGGGGUCAAGGGGGCUGUCUGGGCGCAGGGCGGGACCCCAGGAGUCCUGGCCAGAACUGCUGACCGAGGACAGCGAAAUGCUACCAGACAGGAAACGCCUCCCCCACCCCCCCAUGUCAGCCUUGGGAGGGCACAGACAUCCAGGGCGGGUCCCUGCAUUUGCGCACGGGAGAGGCCCUUUUGUUUCUGGGACUCCUCUCUCUGCUCCACAGGCACUGGGCGCUGGCUGGUUUGGUAAAAUACAGUCCCCCUCCGGGGGUUGUAGCUCUUGA
Molecule: long non-coding RNA, 1002 nt
Filed under: Felis catus (domestic cat)
Lineage: Eukaryota; Metazoa; Chordata; Mammalia; Carnivora; Felidae
Description: lncRNA (ENSFCAG00000052688.1)
Source: RNAcentral